GUCUUCUGGACUAUGAGGAUGGUAGAGAUGUUCCCUCUCAGAGAUCUGAAAGAGGAAGAGGAUUCCGUCAUUUGUAUUCAACAGAAAGUGACACCUCAUAUGAUGAUCAAGAGGGAUCCAAAGGAGA
Lontra canadensis (Northern American river otter) is the source of this 127-nucleotide long non-coding RNA. RefSeq lists it as uncharacterized. The transcript is spliced from 5 exons. Lineage: Eukaryota; Metazoa; Chordata; Mammalia; Carnivora; Mustelidae. The record is from RefSeq and is a predicted model, not a curated record.